AGUGAACGCUGGCGGUAGGCCUAACACAUGCAAGUCGAACGGCAGCACAGUAAGAGCUUGCUCUUACGGGUGGCGAGUGGCGGACGGGUGAGGAAUACAUCGGAAUCUACUUUUUCGUGGGGGAUAACGUAGGGAAACUUACGCUAAUACCGCAUACGACCUACGGGUGAAAGCAGGGGAUCUUCGGACCUUGCGCGAUUGAAUGAGCCGAUGUCGGAUUAGCUAGUUGGCGGGGUAAAGGCCCACCAAGGCGACGAUCCGUAGCUGGUCUGAGAGGAUGAUCAGCCACACUGGAACUGAGACACGGUCCAGACUCCUGCGGGAGGCAGCAGUGGGGAAUAUUGGACAAUGGGCGCAAGCCUGAUCCAGCCAUACCGCGUGGGUGAAGAAGGCCUUCGGGUUGUAAGGCCCUUUUGUUGGGAAAGAAAAGCAGCAGGUUAAUACCCCGCUGUUCUGACGGUACCCAAAGAAUAAGCACCGGCUAACUUCGUG
RNAcentral lists this ribosomal RNA (492 nucleotides) under uncultured bacterium. RNAcentral's name for it is "partial 16S ribosomal RNA". It matches the Rfam family "Bacterial small subunit ribosomal RNA", at positions 29 to 507 of the family's 1533-position model. The record is from RNAcentral.